CCUACGGGUGGCAGCAGUGAGGAAUAUUGGUCAAUGGGCGAGAGCCUGAACCAGCCAAGUCGCGUGAGGGAGUACUGCCCUAUGGGUUGUAAACCUCUUUUGUCGGGGAGCAAAAGCCGGACGUGUCCGGCUGUGAGAGUACCCGAAGAAAAAGCAUCGGCUAACCCCGUGCCAGCAGCCGCGGUAAUACGGAGGAUUCGAGCGUUAUCCGGAUUUAUUGGGUUUAAAGGGUGCGCAGGCGGAUUUUUAAGUCAGCGGUAAAAUCGUGGGGCUCAACCCCAUCCAGCCGUUGAAACUGGGGAUCUAGAGUGUGCGAGAGGUAUGCGGAAUGCGUGGUGUAGCGGUGAAAUGCAUAGAUAUCACGCAGAACCCCGAUUGCGAAGGCAGCAUACCGGUGCACAACUGACGCUCAGGCACGAAAGCGUGGGUAUCGAACAGGAUUAGAUACCCGAGUAGUC
RNAcentral lists this ribosomal RNA (458 nucleotides) under uncultured bacterium. RNAcentral's name for it is "partial 16S ribosomal RNA". It matches the Rfam family "Bacterial small subunit ribosomal RNA", at positions 338 to 795 of the family's 1533-position model. The record is from RNAcentral.